RNAcentral lists this ribosomal RNA (483 nucleotides) under uncultured bacterium. RNAcentral describes it as "bacterial SSU rRNA". It matches the Rfam family "Bacterial small subunit ribosomal RNA", at positions 337 to 916 of the family's 1533-position model. The record is from RNAcentral.
UCCUACGGGAGGCAGCAGUUAGGAAUUUUCCACAAUGGGCGAAAGCCUGAGCCGCGUGCAGGAUGAAGGCCCUAGGGUUGUAAACUGCUUUUAUACGUGACGUAUGAAUAAGGAUCGGCUAACUCCGUGCCAGCAGCCGCGGUCAUACGGAGGAUCCAAGCGUUAUCCGGAUUUACUGGGAAUAGUGAAAUCUUGUGGCUCAACCAUAAGGCUAUUAUUGAGAAUGAGAGAGGUCACUGGAAUUCCCUGUGUAGGAGUGAAAUCCGUAGAUAUAGGGAGGAACACCAAUGGCGUAGGCAGGUGACUGGCUCAUUUCUGACACUGAGGCACGAAAGCGUGGGGAGCGAACGGGAUUAGAUACCCCGGUAGUCCACGCCGUAAACGAUGGAUGCUAGCUGUUAGGAGUAUCGACCCUUCUAGUAGCGAAGCUAACGCGUUAAGCAUCCCGCCUGGGGAGUGAUUAAAACUCAAAGGAAUUGACGG